CCCAUGUUAGAGUGGGUUCCCUCUGGGUGCUUCAGCUUCCUCCCACUUCCAAAGACAUGCAGGUUAGGGGAAUUGUUGACUCUAAAUUCAUGGUAGGGGUGAAUGAGAGUCUGAAUGUGAAUAUUUGUGCGU
Molecule: long non-coding RNA, 132 nt
Organism: Thalassophryne amazonica
Lineage: Eukaryota; Metazoa; Chordata; Actinopteri; Batrachoidiformes; Batrachoididae
Exons: 3
Source: RefSeq, a predicted model, not a curated record